GGAAAUUCUGCUGGCACUGUCACCACAUUCUAUUUGUCUUCUCAAGGAGCAGGGCAUGAUGAAAUUGAUUUUGAGUUUCUAGGAAAUUCAUCAGGACUACCUUACACGGUUCAUACCAAUGUUUACUCUCAAGGAAAAGGCAAUAAAGAACAACAAUUUCGUCUCUGGUUUGAUCCAACUUCGUCGUUCCACACUUACUCUAUUGUUUGGAACUCUCAACGGAUCAUAUUUUUGGUGGAUAAUAUCCCAAUUAGAGUGUUCAACAACCACGAAGCACUUGGUGUUGCAUACCCAAAGAAUCAAGCAAUGAGAGUUUACGCGAGUCUAUGGAAUGCUGAUGAUUGGGCUACACAAGGAGGACGGGUGAAGACAGAUUGGUCUAUGGCUCCGUUUACAGCUUCUUACAGGAAUUUCAAUACAAAUGCUUGUGUUUGGUCAGCUGCUACGUCUACUUCGUCUUGUGGAGGUUCUAAGACUGAGUCAGUAAACAAUGAUGAGACAUGGCAAACGCAACAACUGAACGCUAAUGGAAGAAAUAGAAUACGAUGGGUUCAGCAGAAGUACAUGAUCUACAAUUACUGUGCAGAUGCUAAUAGGUUCUCUCAAGGCUUUUCUCCUGAAUGCAAGCGUUCAAGGUUCUAAGGCGGAUAUAUAUAGUAUAUGAAUGUAAAAUUAUGUUUGUUUCACUUUUCUAUUCUUUUAAUUUUGAUCAGGUAAAAAAAAGAACAUAGUGUAAUUAUUUGUGUAUGCAAUAUAUUCUUUAUUCUUUUUGUAAUCGUGAAAUAGAAAUAACGAUGAAUCGUUU
Molecule: unclassified non-coding RNA, 805 nt
Filed under: Hevea brasiliensis (rubber tree)
Lineage: Eukaryota; Viridiplantae; Streptophyta; Magnoliopsida; Malpighiales; Euphorbiaceae
Source: RNAcentral